AGAGUUUGAUCAUGGCUCAGGAGUGAACGCUGGCGGCAAGGCCUAAAUACAAUGGCAAGUCGAACGGCAGCACAGCAGAGCUUGCUCUGUGGGUGGCGAGUGGCGGACGGGUGAGGAAUACGUGGGAAUCUGCCCAGUCGUGGGGGAUAACGUAGGGAAACUUACGCUAAUACCGCAUGCGCCUUCGGGGAAAGCCGGGGACCUUCGGGCCUGGCGCGAUUGGAUGAGCCCACGUCGGAUUAGCUAGUUGGCGGGGUAAAGGCCCACCAAGGCGACGAUCCGUAGCUGGUCUGAGAGGAUGAUCAGCCACACCGGAACUGAGACACGGUCCAGACUCCUACGGGAGGCAGCAGUAGGGAAUAUUGGACAAUGGGCGCAAGCCUGAUCCAGCCAUGCCGCGUGAGUGAAGAAGGCCCUCGGGUUGUAAAGCUCUUUUGUCCGGAAAGAAAAGCGCCGGGUUAAUACCCUGGUGUCCUGACGGUACCGGAAGAAUAAGCACCGGCUAACUUCGUG
This 513-nucleotide ribosomal RNA is filed under the name uncultured bacterium. RNAcentral's name for it is "bacterial SSU rRNA". It matches the Rfam family "Bacterial small subunit ribosomal RNA", at positions 8 to 507 of the family's 1533-position model. The record is from RNAcentral.